UCCAGACUCCUACGGGAGGCAGCAGUGAGGAAUAUUGGUCAAUGGGCGGGAGCCUGAACCAGCCAAGUCGCGUGAGGGAAGACGGUCCUACGGAUUGUAAACCUCUUUUGCCGGGGAGCAACGGGGUCCUUGCGAGGGCCCGAUGAGAGUACCCGGAGAAAAAGCAUCGGCUAACUCCGUGCCAGCAGCCGCGGUAAUACGGAGGAUGCGAGCGUUAUCCGGAUUUAUUGGGUUUAAAGGGUGCGUAGGCGGGCUGUUAAGUCAGCGGUAAAAUGUCGGGGCUCAACCCCGGCCUGCCGUUGAAACUGGCGGGCUAGAGUGGGCGAGAAGUGCGCGGAAUGCGUGGUGUAGCGGUGAAAUGCAUAGAUAUCACGCAGAACUCCGAUUGCGAAGGCAGCGCACCGGCGCCCUACUGACGCUCAGGCACGAAAGCGUGGGUAUCGAACAGGAUUAGAUACCCCCGUA
Molecule: ribosomal RNA, 465 nt
Filed under: uncultured bacterium
Lineage: Bacteria
Description: bacterial SSU rRNA
Rfam family: Bacterial small subunit ribosomal RNA
Source: RNAcentral